RNAcentral lists this ribosomal RNA (491 nucleotides) under uncultured bacterium. RNAcentral describes it as "partial 16S ribosomal RNA". It matches the Rfam family "Bacterial small subunit ribosomal RNA", at positions 29 to 507 of the family's 1533-position model. The record is from RNAcentral.
GUGAACGCUGGCGGUAGGCCUAACACAUGCAAGUCGAACGGCAGCACAGUAAGCGCUUGCUCUUACGGGUGGCGAGUGGCGGACGGGUGAGGAAUACAUCGGAAUCUACUUUUUCGUGGGGGAUAACGUAGGGAAACUUACGCUAAUACCGCAUACGACCUACGGGUGAAAGCAGGGGAUCUUCGGACCUUGCGCGAUUGAAUGAGCCGAUGUCGGAUUAGCUAGUUGGCGGGGUAAAGGCCCACCAAGGCGACGAUCCGUAGCUGGUCUGAGAGGAUGAUGAGCGACACUGGAACUGAGACACGGUCCAGACUCCUACGGGAGGCAGCAGUGGGGAAUAUUGGACAAAGGGCGCAAGCCUGAUCCAGCCAUACCGCGUGGGUGAAGAAGGCCUUCGGGUUGUAAAGCCCUUUUGUUGGGAAAGAAAAGCAGCAGGUUAAUACCCCGCUGUUCUGACGGUACCCAAAGAAUAAGCACCGGCUAACUUCGUG